This 68-nucleotide transfer RNA is filed under the name Acroneuria carolinensis. RNAcentral's name for it is "tRNA-Phe". It matches the Rfam family "tRNA". From Rfam's summary of the family: Transfer RNA (tRNA) molecules are approximately 80 nucleotides in length. Their secondary structure includes four short double-helical elements and three loops (D, anti-codon, and T loops). Further hydrogen bonds mediate the characteristic L-shaped molecular structure. tRNAs have two regions of fundamental functional importance: the anti-codon, which is responsible for specific mRNA codon recognition, and the 3' end, to which the tRNAs corresponding amino acid is attached (by aminoacyl-tRNA synthetases). tRNAs cope with the degeneracy of the genetic code in two manners: having more than one tRNA (with a specific anti-codon) for a particular amino acid; and 'wobble' base-pairing, i.e. permitting non-standard base-pairing at the 3rd anti-codon position. The record is from RNAcentral. Lineage: Eukaryota; Metazoa; Arthropoda; Insecta; Plecoptera; Perlidae.
GUUCAAAUAGCUUAUCAGUAGAGCGUGGCAUUGAAGCUGCUAAGGGGAUUUAUUUAAAUCUUUGAACA